This 253-nucleotide ribosomal RNA is filed under the name uncultured bacterium. RNAcentral's name for it is "partial 16S ribosomal RNA". It matches the Rfam family "Bacterial small subunit ribosomal RNA", at positions 524 to 776 of the family's 1533-position model. The record is from RNAcentral.
UACGUAGGGUGCAAGCGUUGUCCGGAAUUAUUGGGCGUAAAGAGCUCGUAGGCGGUUUGUUGCGUCGACUGUGAAAUCCCGAGGCUCAACCUCGGGUCUGCAGUCGAUACGAGCAAACUAGAGUGUUGCAGGGGAGACUGGAAUUCCUGGUGUAGCGGUGAAAUGCGCAGAUAUCAGGAGGAACACCAAUGGCGAAGGCAGAUCUCUGGGCCGUAACUGACGCUGAGGAGCGAAAGCAUGGGGAGCGAACAGG